This 667-nucleotide ribosomal RNA is filed under the name uncultured Herbaspirillum sp. RNAcentral's name for it is "bacterial SSU rRNA". It matches the Rfam family "Bacterial small subunit ribosomal RNA", at positions 8 to 670 of the family's 1533-position model. Lineage: Bacteria; Pseudomonadati; Pseudomonadota; Betaproteobacteria; Burkholderiales; Oxalobacteraceae. The record is from RNAcentral.
AGAGUUUGAUCAUGGCUCAGAUUGAACGCUGGCGGCAUGCCUUACACAUGCAAGUCGAACGGCAGCGCGGGCUUCGGCCUGGCGGCGAGUGGCGAACGGGUGAGUAAUAUAUCGGAACGUGCCCAGGAGUGGGGGAUAACUAGUCGAAAGAUUAGCUAAUACCGCAUACGAUCUACGGAUGAAAGUGGGGGAUCGCAAGACCUCAUGCUCCUGGAGCGGCCGAUAUCUGAUUAGCUAGUUGGUGGGGUAGAGGCCUACCAAGGCGACGAUCAGUAGCUGGUCUGAGAGGACGACCAGCCACACUGGGACUGAGACACGGCCCAAACUCCUACGGGAGGCAGCAGUGGGGAAUUUUGGACAAUGGGGGCAACCCUGAUCCAGCAAUGCCGCGUGUGUGAAGAAGGCCUUCGGGUUGUAAAGCACUUUUGUCAGGGAAGAAACGGUGAGGGCUAAUAUCCCUUGCUAAUGACGGUACCUGAAGAAUAAGCACCGGCUAACUACGUGCCAGCAGCCGCGGUAAUACGUAGGGUGCAAGCGUUAAUCGGAAUUACUGGGCGUAAAGCGUGCGCAGGCGGUUGUGUAAGUCAGAUGUGAAAUCCCCGGGCUCAGCCUGGGAAUUGCAUUUGAGACUGCACGGCUAGAGUGUGUCAGAGGGGGGUAGAACUCC